This 72-nucleotide ribosomal RNA is filed under the name uncultured ectomycorrhiza (Basidiomycota). RNAcentral's name for it is "partial 28S ribosomal RNA". It matches the Rfam family "Eukaryotic large subunit ribosomal RNA", at positions 1 to 70 of the family's 3401-position model. The record is from RNAcentral. Lineage: Eukaryota; Fungi; Basidiomycota.
UUUGAUCUCAAAUCACGUAGGACUACCCGCUGAACUUAAGCAUAUCAAUAAGCGGAGGAAAAGAAACUAACA